This 762-nucleotide ribosomal RNA is filed under the name uncultured fungus. Its description in RNAcentral is "eukaryotic LSU rRNA". It matches the Rfam family "Eukaryotic large subunit ribosomal RNA", at positions 30 to 821 of the family's 3401-position model. The record is from RNAcentral. Lineage: Eukaryota; Fungi.
GAACUUAAGCAUAUCAAUAAGCGGAGGAAAAGAAACCAACAGGGAUUGCCUCAGUAACGGCGAGUGAAGCGGCAACAGCUCAAAUUUGAAAUCUGGCCGCAAGGUCCGAGUUGUAAUUUGUAGAGGAUGCUUUUGGCGAGGUGCCUUCCGAGUUCCCUGGAACGGGACGCCAUAGAGGGUGAGAGCCCCGUACGGUAGGACCACCAAGCCUCUGUAAAGCUCCUUCGACGAGUCGAGUAGUUUGGGAAUGCUGCUCUAAAUGGGAGGUGUACGUCUUCUAAAGCUAAAUACCGGCCAGAGACCGAUAGCGCACAAGUAGAGUGAUCGAAAGAUGAAAAGCACUUUGAAAAGAGGGUUAAAAAGUACGUGAAAUUGUUGAAAGGGAAGCAUUCAUGACCAGACUUGGGCUUGGUUGAACAUCCGGCGUUCUCGCCGGUGCACUCUGCCAGUCCAGGCCAGCAUCAGUUUGCCCCGGGGGAUAAAGGCGGCGGGAAUGUGGCCCCCUUCGGGGAGUGUUAUAGCCCGUCGUGUAAUGCCCUGGGGCGGACUGAGGAACGCGCUUCGGCACGGAUGCUGGCGUAAUGGUCAUCAAUGACCCGUCUUGAAACACGGACCAAGGAGUCGUCUUCGUAUGCGAGUGUUCGGGUGUCAAACCCCUACGCGUAAUGAAAGUGAACGUAGGUGAGAGCUUCGGCGCAUCACCGACCGAUCCUGAUGUUCUCGGAUGGAUUUGAGUAAGAGCAUACGGGGCCGGACCCGAAA